CUACGGGCCGCUCCAGUGAGGAAUAUUGCACAAUGGAGGAAACUCUGAUGCAGCAACGCCGCGUGGAGGAUGACGCAUUUCGGUGUGUAAACUCCUUUUAUAUGUCAAGAAAAUGACGGUAGCAUAUGAAUAAGCACCGGCUAACUCCGUGCCAGCAGCCGCGGUAAUACGGAGGGUGCAAGCGUUACUCGGAAUCACUGGGCGUAAAGGACGCGUAGGCGGGAUAUCAAGUCAGGUGUGAAAUCCUACAGCUUAACUGUAGAACUGCACUUGAAACUGGUAACCUAGAGUAUGGGAGGGGGAGAUGGAAUUAGUGGUGUAGGGGUAAAAUCCGUAGAUAUGUGGAGGAACACCUAAAGCGAAGGCGAUCUCCUGGAACAUAACUGACGCUAAGGCGUGAAAGCGUGGGGAGCAAACAGGAUUAGAUACCCCUGUAGUC
RNAcentral lists this ribosomal RNA (439 nucleotides) under uncultured bacterium. RNAcentral describes it as "partial 16S ribosomal RNA". It matches the Rfam family "Bacterial small subunit ribosomal RNA", at positions 339 to 795 of the family's 1533-position model. The record is from RNAcentral.